CAGUCACAGUCAUAAAAUGACACACAUACACAGUCAACACACGCACAAACACAAUGGAGCGCUUGCACACAAGAAACAGACAAAGAAACACACACAAUCAGUCACACACACAAACAAUCAGUCACACAGAGUCACACAGACACAAUGGAGUGCUUGCACACAAGAAACAGACAUAGAUAGGAUGAAACUAAUCAAAGACAUGAGAAAAAGUAAAGUAUUUGUUCAAGCUUCCCGUUCAGAACCUUCAACUCUGCAUUAUUUUAGUUCUUCAAUUCCAAACCUCUCUCUGCAUUACCCAACUACAAGCCAGGAGGCCACUACUGUUAUAUAAACAAAGACAAGUGUAAGAGAGCCAGAGAGCAAAUUAGGAGGUACCUUUUUUUUAUCACCAAAUUUCAUAGUAUGCACGUACCAAAAUUGUAUUUUGUGUCGCAAGAUGAACCUAAAGAACUCACCAGGAAAAUACUCAAAUUAACAGAUCAAGUGAAUCAUGGAGAACAUUAUGUAGAAUAGUAGUCCAACAAAUCCAAAACAAUUCAAAUAUAUAUGCAGAUAAUCAGAGCUCAUGUACAUGCAAACCUUUCCCUCCCAUAAGGUGAUAAAUCUGCAAGCUGAAGAUCAAAAUUCGAUUACCUUAGUUGGUAAAACAGAAAGCGAUAGGAACCCUGAGCAGUCCUUGGCAUACUAUCAGCAUACUAUCAGAAUUAUCGGUCCUGGAAAGAGCAACAUACUAUCAGCAUGAAUACAUAAUCUUGUGAAGUGAACAAGGAAAACAUGGCUAAAUAAGCGUUUUGGGACUACAGGCAUUAGCAUCACAAAAUGUAGAAAACAUAAAUAUACCUGCGCUGUAAGCAAACCCUACCCAUCAGUGUCCUUAGCAAAACAAGCUGAAGAGCAAAUGUGACAUUUGUCUAUAUCCUACCUGAAAUACUUAGAAAAGCAUUAUUCCAGUGAA
This 955-nucleotide long non-coding RNA is filed under the name Triticum aestivum (bread wheat). Its description in RNAcentral is "long non-coding RNA (TAES_LNC009091)". Lineage: Eukaryota; Viridiplantae; Streptophyta; Magnoliopsida; Poales; Poaceae. The record is from RNAcentral.